Molecule: small RNA, 754 nt
Filed under: Laminaria rodriguezii
Lineage: Eukaryota; Phaeophyceae; Laminariales; Laminariaceae
Description: eukaryotic LSU rRNA
Rfam family: 5.8S ribosomal RNA (bases 302-456)
Source: RNAcentral
CGUAACAAGGUUUCCGUAGGUGAACCUGCGGAAGGAUCAUUACCGAAAGCGGGUUCGUUCAAACCCCCCCGCUCUACAAAUUGUCUGACACUCGCCCCCAGGAGAUGUGGGGGCGUUUGUUUACCCCGAGAAAGGAUUCGUUUAUGCGAAGUUGGGCGAGGGGCGCCUCGCCGAGGGUGAAAGCUCUCGAACCAAAGCGCACCCCACACACUUAAACCCCAUCAAACUCUGAAUCUGAACUCAAAGGGGGGCACGCAGCGCUCUUUGCCGCGGCGGCUCCCCCAACCUUUUAACGUUGUAAAACUUUCAGCGACGGAUGUCUUGGCUCCCACAACGAUGAAGAACGCAGCGAAAUGCGAUACGUCUUGCGACUUGCAGAAUCCAGUGAAUCAUCAAAACUUUGAACGCAUCUUGCGCUUCCGGGAUACUCCUGGGAGCAUGCUUGUCGGAGUGUCUGUUGACACCACUCGCCCCCUCUCCCUCCCCCGUCGUCGUCAGAUGAAAGGGGUGGGAGGGCGGGGCGGACUCUGAGUGCUCCGGAGUUCCCAUGCUCCGAGUGCACCUAAUCUCGUGAACGAAGCCUCUCGCGCCCCGCCGCACAGAGUUGUUGACGGCGCUCGCUUCGGCGGCGACUCUCGACUCGCCAAACGUGCGCGCGGGGCUGCGGGCCUCGUUCCGACGCUCCUCGAAGAAGGCCGUCCUUCGUCGAUGGAAGACCGUACCACUUUCGUUCGGACCUCCGAUCAAGCAAGAG